UUGAAUUUCACUGUUAAAAAGGGCAGGAAUCCGGGGGAUUUACAGAUAAGUCCAUCUGGGUCCCCAAGAACGGAAUUCAGCCUGAAGUACAGUUUACUUUUUAAUAGUUUUUCACAAAAAAAUCAGCUGUUGCUUAGGUGACAUUUACUUAAGCCGGGUUUUAUAGCUUGCUAUUCACAGUCCAGGUCACAAGCACAAUUGGUACUAUACUGUUGGGUAAUGGCCAGGCUGAAACAUGGAGUGGUUUGUGAUUAUGUGUGAAUUCAACCACUCUCAUUUUGUGCAAGUGGGUUAUGUAACUCCAAAAAAAACAAAGACGUUUGCAAUAGAGCUCUGUUUUUUAGUGCACAAAAUUUCUGGACUCGCCUUGGGAACGGGAUCAGGAAAGCUGAUGUGUCUGCUCCAAAUUGUAUUUUCCAAAUGGAAAGCCGCCACUUGUUUUGCCAAAUAUUCCAAAGCACUCUUACCUUCUUUCUCCCUGUGCUUUUCAACAACCUUAACGGACUCUUCUCAGGGGACACGGUGGCUCAGUGGCUAAAGAGGCUGCGCUUGUCGAUCAGAAAGGUCACUGAAAAAUGCAUGACUAUGAGAAGCAAACUUUUAUUAGAUGCUUCUUGACUUAAAGAAAGCAUCAAACUAAAGGGAAGAGGCUUAAAUUAUGGGGCAUUUUGCAUGGAUAUAUAUAGGGUUGAAGGGUUUCUCCAAGUCUUUCUGAACGAAAAUAAUCCUAAAGUUUGAGGUGAGAGCACUCGCGUCCCCCUGUGGAUGAUUUAAUGAGAUCACCAGGGAAUUGGAAAAAAAAAACAGGAUUCCCAACGGUUGAUGGUGGCAUAGAAAUAAAGCACAAAUAUUAAUAUUUAGCUGGUGUCUUCGGUUAGAGAAUAUUGGAGAUGUGAAACAAACGGCUUUGCGGUGUUUCUAAAUGCAAGAUUAUAUCGAGGCAGCUGGCUAACCUGCUCUUCUCAUCCUUGAGCAUCCUGAGAAAUGAGUGGCUGGUUGAGGCAUUCUGGGAGUUGAAGUCCACUAGUCUUAAAGUUGCCAGGUUUGGAGGCCUUCUAAUAUAAACAAUUGUAAUUGGCUGGGUGUUCUUUUAUUAACAGAUUUCCCAUUAGCAACAAGGACAGUGGGACUCCCGAAAAUCCAACAGGGAGAUGGGAAAAGAUCGUGGAGGCAGGAUUAAACAGAUGUGGAGUGCUUAGAUUUUCUCAUGCCAUUCUGUUUUUUUUUUCUCCUGCAAAUAUUGCCUUUGGUACUGUUGGAAGGAAUUUUCCUGGUUCGUUCCCAGUUGGGACACACGACAGACGAUGCUGAGAAGAAAUGGAUGCAGAAGCCAGCUGCCAGAAAGUGGAAUUCUUUUAAUGUAGGGAGGCAAGAAGCAAAAAGUGACACACUCUAGAAUUCCUGGCUUGCAAGCACCUUGGGAAUCUGAGCCUUUUAUGCUUAAUUCCCCUUUGAAGCUUCUGCAGGUUUGGUGGGUUUUAAUGUGUUUCUGAUUGCCCUGGGUUCCCCCCCCCCACUGUUUUAUUGGGUUAAUUUUGGUCCCAGGUCUUUUGUUUUUCCUGUCCUUGGGGUUUAAUCCUGUCAGGCACAGGAAAAAAAGGAGUUUCGGUUUACCUUGGAAAGUUUAUUUUUAGCCUGAUUCCCCUUAUCUUAAUGGCUCUACUUAAGUGUUUCUGUGUUCAGCUUUGUUACUUUUUUAACAGCCUAAGCUUAGCACUGCUUCUCUGAGUUUUCCUUUCAGCUGAUGCUUCUUGGUUUUCUUAAAGGGGAAGGGCUGGCUUAAAUCUUUUGGCACUGCUUUGGUGGUUCCUGGCACUGUCCUUUUGGGGUGUACUUCCCACAGUACUUUUAUUAAAAGUUUGUUUUUUCUUCCAGGUACUAGAAGUAGCAGAGCAGCUUACUUUCCCAAAGCCCCCCACCACUACCAAUUCAGGAGCAUUUGGAAAAGAGGCAUUAGGAGAGCAUCCACCACACAGACCCACAGUCACUCUUAAAUUUUAUUUAUUUACAGUAUAAAAUUUAUAUACCAUUUAUUUUGCUUUCAAACAACUUUUGGGCAGCAUUACAACAGAACAAAAAAAAACCCAAAAUACAAUGAUAAGAACACUUCCUGACAGAACAGUUAAUCAGUGGAACAACUUGCCUCCAGAAGUUGUGAAUGCUCCACCACUGGAAGUU
Molecule: long non-coding RNA, 2178 nt
Organism: Thamnophis elegans (Western terrestrial garter snake)
Lineage: Eukaryota; Metazoa; Chordata; Lepidosauria; Squamata; Natricidae
Exons: 4
Source: RefSeq, a predicted model, not a curated record